RNAcentral lists this ribosomal RNA (471 nucleotides) under Triticum aestivum (bread wheat). Its description in RNAcentral is "partial small subunit ribosomal RNA". The record is from RNAcentral. Lineage: Eukaryota; Viridiplantae; Streptophyta; Magnoliopsida; Poales; Poaceae.
AUGACGGCUUGCAAGAGGAAGAACGAAGCAGCGGUCCAGCGGCACCGGGAAUGGGCGUGGGAGGUGCGGAUCCGAAGCCGGAAGGCGAGCUCUGGCCGGAUCCAGGGCGAGAACGGCGGAGAUGGCCGGCAGGUCAGGAGGCGUGAUGUCGGAGGCGACGCUGACAAAGACGUUGGGGUGUGCCCAGACAUGAAGGAGGUACGGCGCGAUGCGGCUCGUCGAAGCAGAGGCUCGUGGGCGAGGAGUUGGGGAUGGUGCCGAUCAAGGGGAGGCCGGAGGUGGCGCUGGCCUGCGGCGACGCAGUGUUUGACAGGACAGCGGACUGCCAGCUUGAGGGGCAUGUGGCCAUGGCAAGGAGGCGGGGAAGAAGACCAGGUCAUGGGGCUUCAAGUACAGGAGGAGGCCAUGGCAAGGAGGCGGAGGUGGGAGCGAGCACGAGGGCGCGGCGCUGGUCUCUCUCUUCCUCUCUAG